AUUGAACGCUGGCGGCAUGCCUUACACAUGCAAGUCGAACGGCAGCACGGGAGCAAUCCUGGUGGCGAGUGGCGAACGGGUGAGUAAUAUAUCGGAACGUACCCAGUCGUGGGGGAUAACGUAGCGAAAGCUACGCUAAUACCGCAUACGAUCUAUGGAUGAAAGCGGGGGAUCGCAAGACCUCGCGCGAUUGGAGCGGCCGAUAUCAGAUUAGGUAGUUGGUGAGGUAAAGGCUCACCAAGCCGACGAUCUGUAGCUGGUCUGAGAGGACGACCAGCCACACUGGGACUGAGACACGGCCCAGACUCCUACGGGAGGCAGCAGUGGGGAAUAUUGGACAAUGGGCGAAAGCCUGAUCCAGCAAUGCCGCGUGAGUGAUGAAGGCCUU
Molecule: ribosomal RNA, 388 nt
Filed under: uncultured bacterium
Lineage: Bacteria
Description: bacterial SSU rRNA
Rfam family: Bacterial small subunit ribosomal RNA
Source: RNAcentral